This 8534-nucleotide long non-coding RNA is filed under the name Capsicum annuum. RNAcentral describes it as "long non-coding RNA (CANN_LNC004128)". The record is from RNAcentral. Lineage: Eukaryota; Viridiplantae; Streptophyta; Magnoliopsida; Solanales; Solanaceae.
CAAAAAUUCAAAUCACCAUUGCAAAAUAAUGAUACAAAUUAACUUUUCUGAAACGAUUGUGAUAUAAAUGAGCAAACAAUUUAUAGGUGAUGGCAUAAAUGAGCCAUUUUUAAUAGUUUAAUGAUAUUUUUUUAGCCUUUUCCCCUAAAUUUUAUGAUUUUAAACUAAACUAGAGAUGAGUUGAAUGUACCAAUAUUUAAUUUUGUGAUCUUAAAUUUAAAGUGAAAAAUUAAAAAUUAUUUUUAAAAAAAUUAAUCUAAAUAGCAACAAGCUUGCUUAAUAAACAGUAAAUAGAAUAAGCUAUUUGUGUAAACGAAAAGCACAAAUGAAUUGAGAUUGAGGAGGGAUUAUUUAUUUUUGUCAUGACCCGAAUCGGGGCCCUAGCCGUGACGGGGAUCCUGAACCAUGAAGGUUCGAAAGCCCUUCUAACUUGCAACCAUAUGCACCAUUCAUUUACAAAGACGAACUGCGGAAAUACAAAACAAAACGGAAUCAUGGUCGAUAUCAUAAUUCAAUUGAACAAUAUGGGAUGGAAAAUAUAAACCUCUAAACAACGUCUAACAUCAGUCUGCAAAGUCUCUAACUGAAAAUGACAUUUGUCUGAAAUCUGAGAUAAGCCCCCAGUCGGGCCAUGAAUCAAAAUGAAAUAACAAUAACAAGUUCUAAUACAGGACUUCCGAAGUAAGGGAGGCUCACCAAUUGCAACUUCCGACGCACUCAAACCUAUUACUGAACUGGACCCCGAGACUGUCCCUCAGAUCCUAAGAUGGAGGGGGGGGGGUCAAUACAGAUAUACUGGUACGUAGAGCAAUCCAAAAUAAUGUACUUCUAUAUACAACAUAGGUGAGAGCAUUUCAUAAAAAUGAUAAGCAAGAAAUAAUUUAAAACACAUGGGCAACUUAAAAUAACCAUUCAAUGCAAAUCUGUAGAUGUAAAACCAUUCUUUAUUUUUUUUUACUUCUGAGAUAAGUGGUACACCCUACAUAUUUGAAAGUUUCCCACGGGCAAUAUGGGAUCCGUCAUUAACUCGACGGCCAAGCCCCCAACCUAAGUUUGCCGCAAGGGAUGAAGUAUCUGAAUCUGAUACGCCCCAGGGCACUAGGCCAACGUAUAAUAAUAUACCCGUAUCGGCAAAAUAUGGUUUCAGAAAAUGAAUCAUAUGACUCGUGCCUUCUUCGGGUAACCACCUAACUCUCUUAGUGCCCAGUUUUUAACCCAUUCUAAACAUGCAUCUUUUUGAAUUCAAAAUCUAAAAUCUAAAAUGAAAUUUGUAUCCUGUUCUGAGUUUUAUCAUGACUUUAUCUGAUUUGGUAUCGUCAUAUCAAGACUUGCAAGUCAUAAUUCUGAGCCAUAAAAUAUCCUUUACAGUUUUCUCUUUCAAAAUACAAAGGUUAGACCACCAUACUUCAAACAAUUCCGAAAGAUUCAUUCUUCCAAAACAUUUAUCAAAUUACGCAAAGAUCAUUCUUUUCAAUCAUUUCAACAAACAUGUGGUGGUCAUGAGUUUCAACAACCCAUGAAAUUUCUUUCAUAUAUAUAUAUAUAUAUAUAUAUAUAUUCAGCACUUAUCAACAUGUAAAACCCUCUCUCUUCAAUUCAAAAAGCAUAAUCAAGUCAUAAACAAAGUCAAGGCUUUUAUAUUAAAUUAUAUUUCCAGUAUCACAUUUCGAACACAUCAUAUCUUACGAAGUUAAGAGACUUGUAAAUAAGAGAGGGAUUUCAAAUAGUUCAUGCUCUCAAUUCAUAAUUCAAACUCAUCAAACUCAUACAUAUAUCUACUUAAACAUGGUUAUAAAUCAGAUUUGGAGGAAAGGCCUCAAGACCAAAUUAAUAUCAUCAAAAUCUUUAAAAAGCAUGAAUCUAAUUAUAAAUUCAAAAUCCCUUUUUUGUAAAUUCAUAAUUUCUAAACCUUUAACAUGAUUAAUAAGAAUUUACCAUGCCCAUGUAGAUUUAGAAAAAUCCCACGUACCUUAUAUUACAAGGUUUGAAGAGUAGAACUCGAAUCUUGAUUUGUUCUUUGAAAAUCUUGAACUUACGAGAUUGAUUCUUGAUCUUGAAAGAAAGCUUAGUUUCCAUUUUACUCUUGAGAGAGGAGAGGAGUUGAGAGAUAAAAACUGAUAAAAGAAAUGGAUUAUAGAGUGUUUUGGAUGAUUUAAAUCGUGUGGAAGAAUUUUGGGAUAAAAAUACCAAAAUACCCCUAAGGAAAUAAAAAAUGCCGCAGCAGUCCCUCGGUUUGACAGACUGACAUGCUGAAGUAAAUUAGGUAUAACCUUUUACUCCGAUGUUGGAUUUCGACGAAAUAAAUUGCGUUGGAAAUAGGACUCAAAGACCUUUCAUUUGAUAUAUAUAAGGCCACCCAGUUCAUUAUAUAACAGAAGUUAUGCUCAACGAAAGUUGACCCAAGUUAAAGUGUCCACUAAAACGUACUCGAUGGAAUUGUUUUCAACUCGUCUUUGAGUUAGGGGAUUUUUGUGAGCUCAAUUCGUAUCCAAAGGUAUUCCCACACUGUAGGAUUUAUCACCACACAUAUAUUAACAAAGAAUCAUCUAGUUCGGAUCAAUACGCAUAGGAACGACGCUUUGAUUUCUAACCCGAAAAAAAUGCGGGGUGUUACAUUAUCUCCCCCUUGGGAUCAUUCGUCCCCGAAUGAUGGGUAGGGAACUUUUGAAGAUAUAAGAGUGUAGAAUUAAGAUCACAGUCUCACAUUGAACAUUUUUCCUUGAUAAAAUAUGCAAAGGAAUCAAACAAGCUUCAUGAUAACCCCUAGCGAAACGUGAAAGCACGAAACAUGAGACAAUGAGACUUUACAUAGGGAUGAUCUUGCACAUGAGUUCUAUGAAUCAUCAUCAGCACCACACAUGGUGGGGGUUUAUUUGAUGAUCAUAGACCAUGAUUAAGAUUGGUACAAUACAUGAGAUAAUAUUCUCGUGGGGCAUAAGAAUAUGAACAUUCUCCAUCUUACAAGAUACAAUGAAAAUACUUAAACUUGUAGACACUAUUUGUCUACGCCCUAAUCAAUAAAUUACAUACUUCACACUUUUCAACUUACAAAUCCCCAACCACACUUCUAGCCACAAGUAUUUGAGUCCCACUACUUAGUACUGCUAUAUUGAAGCCUAACUCGGAGUUAAAAGGUGCUAACUUAAGCUAUAGGACCUUGUACUUUACAUCCCAUUAAGAACGUUACCGUACCUUAUCACCAUCGUCAAACACCCUCGGGUUUUAAUUUAAGGAAUACUAACCGCAUAGUACAUGGGUUGAGUUUUCAUCAAUCUCAACAUUCAAGCCUAUCAUUGCUACACCCACUUCAUGGAUUUACCCCACUAAGAUUAGCAAAUUCAAUCACAUUCACAAAAAUUUUUGCCAUAUAUCUCCUUCCUGACUUUUUCCAUAUAACAAAAGUUCAUCUCCUUCUUUUCCCCUUUCACCUAUAGCCUUAUCUCGAGAAUUCACACCAUUUUUUUAAAAAAUAUCUACUCCUCUACAUAACACAUCACCACGCUUCCACAACCACCAUCAUACUACCAUACGGAGGGUCAUUGAGGGACCCGAGCAUAAACGUCAUGAAUGGAAGUAACACUAAUCAAUUCAUAGCUUAUACUUAUAAUACUACUCAAGGAGGGACAUGAAGUGAAGAUAUAAUAGAAGAGAGACAGGGUGCUUCAGAUAUCAGGUGUCUGGAUCGUAAGCAUAGAGUCGUUCGACACAACCACAACACAACAUGAUUUCUUAGGACAGACUACGGUGAGAAACAUGGGUGCACAAAUCUCAUGAUUUGUAUAACAUAAGGGUCGAAUUAAUUCAAUGAUUGAGACAAAGGUGAAUACUUAAAGCUAUUGCUUCUCAUUUUCAGAUCUGAAAUAGUAAUAAGUUCGCACAACUUUACCGCUUUGGGUAAUUCAAACAUAAAAUGAUUCAGUGAUAUACAGGAACAUAUUUCCUUAUGAUGACCAAGCACGUUGUGAGACAUAGGUUUGGAUCAUGAGCAACAUAACAUAUGGCUUGGAUACGUAUUGGGUCACUGAGGAAUAUUAUUGCUUCUUGUUUGGACGUUGGGUUAAGGCAUGACAUACAUAGAGAACUCAAACCUUAGACAUCGGCAGGACUUGAAUUCAUAAGACCUUGGUAGAAUGAACUCUUAAACUGAAGUAGGAGGAAUAUUCUUGAAUAGGAGUAGGUUCAUCAUGACUCUUCAUUAACUUGCCACAAUGAGAAAAUUUGGAAAACUACCUUCACUCACCAUCUCCCCCUUAGAUCAAAGCCACAACUAUCAACAUAAAAGAGACAUCACCAUAUACUUAAACUCUAACUCUCCCUAAUGAUCUAUACCCCGAAGGCCUUGGUUUUCGGUAAAUGUUACUCUUAACUUUUGCUAUAGCCAUCACUCUACAACCUCCACUCCCAUGAGUGUAUGCAUUCACACGCCCUAUCACCAAAGGAUAUCGACAUAUACAUGAAUACAACUCUUCUCAUUCAUUUUUUUUAAUAUAAAAACACUAAAUUCUCUCUAGGACAUUUCCCCCUCAGGGAUACUAAUCAUGACUUCUUAUAACUCCAAAAUCAUAACUCAUGACUAACAUCAUUAGAGGCAUGGGCGUCUAUGCUUCGAAUCGCUCAACACCUCUUCUUCAACUCCUUAGAAUACUAGCAUUACACCUCUAAUCACAUAACUUACAAAUUAACAAACUUUGUAAAACUAUACCAAAGGCGCAUAUUGCCCACUCAUAUUUUCUCAAUUCAACUCUAAAUAACACUAUACCAUAACUCCCCAAACUUCUCCAUACCACAAUUUUCAAGAAUACAAACUAGGUACGCAAAACACUUAGACACAUAAAUGCUACACUUUCCCUUUUUAAGUAUACUUUGAGGGCAUUGCUUUCGACCAUCCUCUAUCAUCAUCAACUCACAACUCGCAGUACCAAGAGCAUAUACAACCUCACUCCUUAUCACAUAAAAAUCCACUCUCUAAUAUUAGACCGUUAAUCGUAUAACUUAUAUCAUAAAAUCUUACCUAAUGAGUGAUGCCAUACUACUGGGGGGUGCAACUUAUGCUUAUUUACUUACGCCCUUAUCCACUUAAUGGAUCACCUAAAAAUCAUCAUUUUAACACUAGUCCUCAUAUAUACAUAUAACUCAUAAUUAUCACUUAAACUUUUUAUCAAGUAUUAACCUGGGCUCUUUCACAAAUCAUAUCAAGCCUACUAAUUCAUUCCCAUAAAACACACAUCAUUAAUCAUAAGAUACUAUUAUUACCAUCAUAUUCUACAUCUACAAUUCAAGCCUAUAAUCUAGCAUCAAACAUCUACCACAAAUAAAGUAAAGCACACAACAUUAUAUACUAGUCCAUCAAAUUGAGAAAUCAACUCCAAAUGCUCAUUUCAUUUAACUACUACCUACAAUCACAAUCCCCUCCAUGACACCACUAUAUUAGCUUAAGAUCCACUUCAUACCUUUUCACAUGAAGUACUGGUUUGCAACCACUAGAGAAAAGAGGGUCAAGGGGGUAAAGUCAUAUAAUAGACAUGGUCAACCUUAAUCUUAUAUAAUAACCCACCUUACAUACAAUUCUCACUAGGAAGAUAUAGAAUAAGACAUCGAGAAAUACUAGCCCACUAGAAUCUCAUAACAACAAUAAUCUAUCAUAAUCAUAUGGCCUAUCUUAUUUACAAUCCAUUAACACAUCCUCCUUCUACACAUUAUUACUAUUUACCUAUCUAUACACCUAAACUUCUUUCAUAGCACUAUAAGUUUCAACUAAACUCCCUCUUGCAAUCUCAAGGAAGCCUAAAUUAAUAACAUUCAUCCACUAAGUACUUUCACCAAUAACCUAUACUUUUCUAGCGCAACAAACACUAUCAACAACUCUUUUCAUACUUCAAGCAAAAAAAUAAUUUACCUUAACCAAUAAUUCCUUCUCUACCUUCUACUAACCUAACACACAAGGAUAUAUCACUUCAUUACUAACUCAAUCAUAUGCAAAAAGAUUCAGCUAUAUAUAUUUAAUAAAUCACCCUUACCGCUUUUCUUGUCACUACACCUCUAAACCCGUAGUUUCCAACCAAUACAAGAACAACAAGAUGAACAACAAGUUGCUAGUGAAUCAAAAUAGGCCUCACACGGCUUCACUAGACUUUGAUUUUGUGCUUUGAACAGAAAAAUAAGAUGAAUAACAAAGCAACUAUGCUAGUGAAUCAAAAGAGCCCCACACGGCUUCACUAGACUUUUAGUUUCAACAACACAAUGAUAACAAGAUUACAAGAGAUAGAAACUUAACACACAAUAUUCAAUAACUUAAGAAUACACAUCUUACUCUGUCUUAACUGAAUGCCUCAUAAGAAUGAGGACAUAACUUUAAACUUGAGGGACUUAUGACACACUAGGAAGCUUCUCUCAAGCCCUUUGUGUGACUUCUGAAGUUUCUGCUAGUAAAUCUGAGAGCAUUAUCUGGGAACACCAGAGUAAGGAAAGAAUUAGGAUAACUUUUCUUUCGUUUGGGCGACACCAUGGCACGAAUUAGAGUAUGAAAGAGGAACAUUCUGACUCCAUAACACGAACUAGAACAUGAAGAAAGAGAAACAUUCCUAAAUGCCUUAUAGCCUCCUGCUUAUCAGUAUGGCGCGCUACACAACCAUAAACAAGACUCUACCCGACGCGAUUUUGCAAAUACCUUAGAACCAUGAACCGUGCUAUGAUACCAAGUUUUUCACGACCCGAAUCGGGGCCCUGGCCAUGACGGGGAUCCCGAACCAUGAAGGCCCGAGGGUCUUUCUAACUUGCAAUCAUGUACACCAUUCAUUUACAAAGAGGAACUGCGAAAACACGGUUUUGAGCAAUGAAUCAUACGACUUGUGCCUUCUUCGGAUAACCACCUAACUCUCUUAGUGCCCAGUUUUUAACUCAUUCUAAACAUACGUCUUUUUGAAUUCAAAAUCUAAAAUCUAAAAUGAAAUCUGUAUCCUGUUCUGAGUUUUAUCAUGACUUUAUCUGAUUUGGUAUCGUCAUAGUUAUAAUUCUAAGCCAUAAAAUAUACCUUACAGUUUUCUCUUUCAAAAUACAAAGAUUAGACCACCAUACUUCAAACAAUUCUGAAAGAUUCAUUCUUCCAAAACAUUUAUCAAAUUAUGCAAAGGUCAUUAUUUUCAAUCAUUUAGACAAACAUGUGGUGGUCAUGAGUUUCAACAACCCAUGAAAUUUGAAAGUUUCCCACGGGCAAUAUGGGAUCCGUCAUUAACUCGAUAGCCAAGCCCCCAACCCAAGUUUGUCGCAAGUGUUGAAGUAUCUGAAUCUGAUACGCCUUAGGGCACUAGGCCAGCAUAUAAUAAUAUACCCGUAUCGGCAAAAUAUGGUUUCGGGCAAUGAAUCAUAUGACUCGUGCCUUCUUCGGGUAACCACCUAACUCUCUUAGUGCCCAGUUUUUAACCCAUUCUAAACAUGCAUCUUUUUUAAUUCAAAAUCUGAAAUCUAAAAUGAAAUAUGUAUCCUGUUUUGAGUUUUAUCAUGACUUUAUUUGAUUUGGUAUCGUCAUACCAAGACUUGCAAGUCAUAAUUCUGAGCCAUAAAAUAUCCUUUACAGUUUUCUCUUUCAAAAGACAAAGGUUAGACCACCAUACUUCAAACAAUUCCAAAAGAUUCAUUCUUCCAAAACAUUUAUCAAAUUAUGCAAAGGUCAUUCUUUUCAAUCAUUUCAACAAACAUAUGGUGGUCAUGAGUUUCAACAACCCAUGAAAUUUCUUUCAUAUAUAUAUAUAUAUAUAUAUCAAAAAUCAUAAUCAAGUCAUAAACAAAGUCAAGAUUUUUAUAUUAAAUUAUAUUUUCAGUAUCACAUUUCGAACACAUCAUAUCUUAUGAAGUUAAGAGACUUGUAAAUAAGAGAGGGAUUUCAAAUAGUUCAUGCUCUCAAUUCAUAAUUCAAACUCAUCAAACUCAUACAUAUAUCUACUUAAACAUGGUUAUAAAUCAGAUUUGGAGGAAAAGCCUCAAAACCAAAUUAGUAUCAUCAAAAACUUUAAAAAACAUGAAUCUAAUUAUAAAUCCAAAAUCCCUUUUUUGUAAAUUCAUAAUUUCUAAACCUUUAACAUGAUUAAUAAGAAUUUACCAUGCUCAUGUAGAUUUAGGAAAAUCCCACGUACCUUAGAUUACAAGGUUUGAAGAGUAGAACUCGAAUCUUGAUUUCUUGAAAAUCUUGGACUUACGAGAUUGAUUCUUGAUCUUGAAAGAAAGCUUAGUUUCCAUUUUACUUUUGCGAGAGGAGAGGAAUUGAGAGAUUAAAACUGAUAAAAGAAAUGGAUUAUAGAGUGUUUUGGAUGAUUUAAAUCGCGUGGAAGAAUUUUGGGAUGAAAAAUACCAAAAUACCCCUGAGGAAAUAAAAAAUGCCGCAGCAGUCCCUCGGUUUGACAGACUGACAUGCUGAAGUAAAUUGGGUAUAACUUUUUACUCCGAUGUUGGAUUUCGACGAAAUAAAUUGCUUUGGAAAGAGAACUCAAAUACCUUUCAUUUGAUAUAUAGAAGGCCACCCAGUUCAUUAUAUAACAGAA